AGAGCGAACGCUGGCGGCAGGCCUAACACAUGCAAGUCGAGCGCCCCGCAAGGGGAGCGGCAGACGGGAGAGUAACACGUGGGAACGUACCCUUCAGUUCGGAACAACCCAGGGAAAUUUGGGCUAAUACCGAAUACGUCCGUAAGGAGAAAGAUUUAUCGCUGAAGGAUCGGCCCGCGUCUGAUUAGCUAGUUGGUGAGGUAAUGGCUCACCAAGGCGACGAUCAGUAGCUGGUCUGAGAGGAUGAUCAGCCUCACUGGGACUGAGACACGGCCCAGACUCCUACGGGAGGCAGCAGUGGGGAAUAUUGGACAAUGGGCGCAAGCCUGAUCCAGCCAUGCCGCGUGGGUGAUGAAGGCCCUAGGGUUGUAAAGCCCUUUCGGCGGGGAAGAUAAUGACCGGUACCGCAGAAGACGCCCGGCUAACUUCGCGCCAGCAGCCGC
RNAcentral lists this ribosomal RNA (443 nucleotides) under uncultured soil bacterium. RNAcentral describes it as "bacterial SSU rRNA". It matches the Rfam family "Bacterial small subunit ribosomal RNA", at positions 26 to 518 of the family's 1533-position model. The record is from RNAcentral.